GGAGAGAUGGCCGAGUUGGUCGAAGGCGCGCGACUCGAAAUCGUGUAGGCGAGUACCCCUCGUCUCAAGGGUUCGAAUCCCUUUCUCUCCGCCA
This 94-nucleotide transfer RNA is filed under the name Heliobacterium mobile. RNAcentral describes it as "Heliobacillus mobilis tRNA-Ser". It matches the Rfam family "tRNA". From Rfam's summary of the family: Transfer RNA (tRNA) molecules are approximately 80 nucleotides in length. Their secondary structure includes four short double-helical elements and three loops (D, anti-codon, and T loops). The record is from RNAcentral. Lineage: Bacteria; Bacillati; Bacillota; Clostridia; Eubacteriales; Heliobacteriaceae.